GAUGAACGCUGGCGGCGUGCCUAAUACAUGCAAGUCGAGCGAACGGACGAGAAUCUUGCUUCUCUGAUGUUAGCGGCGGACGUGUGAGUAACACGUGGAUAACCUACCUAUAAGACUGGGAUAACUUCGGGAAACCGGAGCUAAUACCGGAUAAUAUUUUGAACCGCAUGGUUCAAAAGUGAAAGACGGUCUUGCUGUCACUUAUAGAUGGAUCCGCGCUGCAUUAGCUAGUUGUUAAGGUAACGGCUUACCAAGGCAACGAUGCAUAGCCGACCUGAGAGGGUGAUAGGCCACACUGGAACUGAGACACGGUCCAGACUCCUAAGGGAGGCAGCAGUAGGGAAUCUUACGCAAUGGGCGAAAGCCUGACGGAGCAACGCCGCGUGAGUGAUGAAGGUCUUCGGAUCGUAAAACUCUGUUAUUAGGGAAGAACAUAUGUGUAAGUAACUGUGCACAUCGUGACGGUACCUAAUCAGAAAGCAACGGCUAACUACGUG
RNAcentral lists this ribosomal RNA (497 nucleotides) under uncultured bacterium. RNAcentral's name for it is "partial 16S ribosomal RNA". It matches the Rfam family "Bacterial small subunit ribosomal RNA", at positions 28 to 507 of the family's 1533-position model. The record is from RNAcentral.